Molecule: ribosomal RNA, 253 nt
Filed under: uncultured bacterium
Lineage: Bacteria
Description: partial 16S ribosomal RNA
Rfam family: Bacterial small subunit ribosomal RNA
Source: RNAcentral
UACGGGGGAGCAAGCGUUGUUCGGAUUUACUGGGCGUAAAGGGCGCGUAGGCGGCCAGCGCAAGUCAGUUGUGAAAUCUCCGGGCUUAACUCGGAAAGGUCAACUGAUACUGCGCGGCUAGAGUGCAGAAGGGGCAACUGGAAUUCUCGGUGUAGCGGUGAAAUGCGUAGAUAUCGAGAGGAACACCUGCGGCGAAGGCGGGUUGCUGGGCUGACACUGACGCUGAGGCGCGAAAGCCAGGGGAGCGAACGGG